This 200-nucleotide ribosomal RNA is filed under the name uncultured bacterium. Its description in RNAcentral is "partial 16S ribosomal RNA". It matches the Rfam family "Bacterial small subunit ribosomal RNA", at positions 30 to 228 of the family's 1533-position model. The record is from RNAcentral.
AUUGAACGCUGGCGGCGUGCUUAAUACAUGCAAGUCGAGCGGUAACAGGUGUAGCAAUACAUGCUGACGAGCGGCGAACGGGUGAGUAAUGCUUCGGAAUCUACCUAGUAGUGGGGAAUAACUAACCGAAAGGUUAGCUAAUGCCGCAUACGACCUACGGGUGAAAGCGGGGGAUCGCAAGACCUCACGCUAUUAGAUGA